AAUUACAAGGUUUCCGUAGGUGAACCUGCGGAAGGAUCAUUA
This 42-nucleotide ribosomal RNA is filed under the name Torulaspora delbrueckii. RNAcentral's name for it is "partial 18S ribosomal RNA". The record is from RNAcentral. Lineage: Eukaryota; Fungi; Ascomycota; Saccharomycetes; Saccharomycetales; Saccharomycetaceae.